UUAGCUAACCUUUCGACACGUACUGCGGCAGGCAGUACGACUUAACGCGUUAGCUCCGGCAAGCCACGCCUCAAGGGCACAACCUCCAAGUCGACAUCGUUUACGGCGUGGACUAUCAGGGUAUCUAAUCCUGUUUGCUCCCCACGCUUUCGCACCUGAGCGUCAGUCUUUGUCCAGGGGGCCGCCUUCGCCACCGGUAUUCCUCCAGAUCUCUACGCAUUUCACCGCUACACCUGGAAUUCUACCCCCCUCUACAAGACUCUAGUCUGCCAGUUUCGAAUGCAGUUCCCAGGUUGAGCCCGGGGAUUUCACAUCCGACUUGACAGACCGCCUGCGUGCGCUUUACGCCCAGUAAUUCCGAUUAACGCUUGCAUCUUUCUCCGUAUUACCGCGGCUGCUGGCACGGAGUUAGCCGGUGCUUCUUCUGCGGGUAACGUCAAUCAGCGAAGCUAGUUAACCUCACUGCCUUCCUCCCCACUAGAAAGUACUU
Molecule: ribosomal RNA, 490 nt
Filed under: Erwinia rhapontici
Lineage: Bacteria; Pseudomonadati; Pseudomonadota; Gammaproteobacteria; Enterobacterales; Erwiniaceae
Description: partial 16S ribosomal RNA
Source: RNAcentral